UACGAAGGGGGCUAGCGUUGCUCGGAAUCACUGGGCGUAAAGGGUGCGUAGGCGGGUCUUUAAGUCAGGGGUGAAAUCCUGGAGCUCAACUCCAGAACUGCCUUUGAUACUGAGGAUCUUGAGUUCGGGAGAGGUGAGUGGAACUGCGAGUGUAGAGGUGAAAUUCGUAGAUAUUCGCAAGAACACCAGUGGCGUAGGCGGCUCACUGGCCCGAUACUGACGCUGAGGCACGAAAGCGUGGGGAGCAAACAGG
RNAcentral lists this ribosomal RNA (253 nucleotides) under uncultured bacterium. RNAcentral describes it as "partial 16S ribosomal RNA". It matches the Rfam family "Bacterial small subunit ribosomal RNA", at positions 524 to 776 of the family's 1533-position model. The record is from RNAcentral.